GAAGAAAGCCAAGGGGUGAGCACACGGCGGCCCCAUCAGGGCUCAUGUCCCCAGCCGUCACCUCUUGGAGCUCUGUCACCCCAAGCCUGGGAGGUGGCCCCAGAGCUUUUCCAGGAUCCGCGGCUCCUCCCAGGGCAGCCACUGCAGGCUGGGGCAGGUGAUGUAGUCAAGGUGAUCGUCUCCGUCCAGCGGAAAAGACAGGAGGCAGAAGGUGAGGCCACAGUCAUUGAGGCCCUGCAGGCCCCUCCGGACGUCACCACGGUGGCCGUGGAGGAGACAAUACCCUCAUUCACGGGGAGGAGCCCAAACCACUGACCCACAGACUCUGCACCCCGACGCCAGAGAUACCUGGAGCGACGGCUGCUGAAAGAGGCUGUCCACCUGGCGGAACCACCGGAGCCCGGAGGCUUGGGGGCUCCGCCCUGGGCUGGCUUCCGUCUCCUCCAGUGGAGGGAGAGGUGGGGCCCCUGCUGGGGUAGAGCUGGGGACGCCAC
RNAcentral lists this unclassified non-coding RNA (494 nucleotides) under Homo sapiens (human). RNAcentral describes it as "TNF receptor superfamily member 14 (ENSG00000273936.4)". Lineage: Eukaryota; Metazoa; Chordata; Mammalia; Primates; Hominidae. The record is from RNAcentral.